CUCAUUUUUCCUUGUUCGGGGUUUGAGGUGCCACCUUACAAAAGGAUGGGUGUACGCUCUCUUUUCAGAGUAAGUAGUGUUAAUGGUUUUACCAGAUUUUUUUGGUUGUUGAGUAUAAGUUGUGUGUGUGCUACGGGGAUGAUAUGAAAACUGAACUCUCUCUUUCUGAUGGUUUAGUGGAGAAAACAAAAAUUCUCUGAGUAGCACAAUCUGUGGCAGGUAUUUGGAUUGUUUGGCAUAAAGUCUUUUAUUGAAGUUUGGGGUUUUUUUUUUCUGUUCUAGAUGUGGUUCAUCUCAAAGCCCUUUACACUUUGGAGCCAGGCCUGUUCAAUUUUACAAAUAACACGUUUUGCUUGUAGUCAGGGUGCUGUGACAACAUGAAGAGUUCGAGCUACCUCCCAGGAUGAGUGCAGGUUUUCCUGGUGACAAAUCUCAGGCAUUCAAAGGUUCUGUUAGCAGUGCCAUACUUGUGGGUUUACAGAGAUGGUGUGUCUGGCUGAGAACAAAGGAGCCGUACCAGGAAAGUUGAAGCAUAUCUUCAUUUUCAAGUCCAGGCUAAAAUAAGGUCUGAGGAAAAGAAUGAGCUGCGUGUGAAGGAUAGGAACAGAAAUCAUGAAAGAUCUGUUUGUCCAGGCCAGUGUUUCACCAUAAGAGAUCACUUUAAAAUAAAUGAUGAAAUAAUUCUUUGCAAUUGCAAAUUUACCUUCCUUGCUUACCACAUUGUUAACUGUAGGAGCUGAUACCUGGUUCUUCCACUGUUAACUUGUACUCUGUGUUUGUUCUAGCAAUAAAUGCUCUUUAUGCUA
This 806-nucleotide long non-coding RNA is filed under the name Mus musculus (house mouse). RNAcentral describes it as "small nucleolar RNA host gene 1". The stretch from base 131 to 205 matches the Rfam family "Small nucleolar RNA SNORD26". Lineage: Eukaryota; Metazoa; Chordata; Mammalia; Rodentia; Muridae. The record is from RNAcentral.